GUGAGGGAGGGUGUGACUAGUGACAGAGUGAGGGAGGGAGUGACUAGUGACAGAGUGAGGGAGGGAGUGACUAGUGACAGAGGGAGGGAUGGGGUGAAUAGUGACAGUCACCACCUCCUUCACUCUGUCACUGUGUCACCCCCUUCCUCACUCUGUCACUGUGUCACCCCUUCCUCACUCUGUCACUGUGUCACCCCUUCCUCACUCUGUCACUGUGUCACCCCUUCCUCACUCUGUCACUAGUCACCCACUCCCUCCCUCAC
Pelobates cultripes (western spadefoot toad) is the source of this 263-nucleotide non-coding RNA. The record is from the annotation of a GenBank genome assembly. Lineage: Eukaryota; Metazoa; Chordata; Amphibia; Anura; Pelobatidae.